ACUCAAAGGAAUAGACGGGGGCCCGCACAAGCAGUGGAUUAUGUGGUUUAAUUCGAAGCAACGCGAAGAACCUUACCAGGUCUUGACAUCUCCUGCAUAGUAUAGAGAUAUAUGAAGUUCUUCGGAACAGGAAGACAGGUGGUGCAUGGUUGUCGUCAGCUCGUGUCGUGAGAUGUUGGGUUAAGUCCCGCAACGAGCGCAACCCUUACAGUUAGUUGCUACGCAAGAGCACUCUAACCGGACUGCCGUUGACAAAACGGAGGAAGGUGGGGAUGACGUCAAAUCAUCAUGCCCUUUAUGACCUGGGCAACACACGUAAUACAAUGGCGAUUAACAAAGAGCGGCGAUACUGCAAAGUAAAGCGAAUCUCAAAAAAUCGUCUCAGUUCGGAUUGUAGGCUGAAACUCGCCUAUAUGAAGUCGGAAUUGCUAGUAAUCGCGGAUCAGCAUGCCGCGGUGAAUACGUUCCCGGGCCUUGCACACACCGCCCGU
This 491-nucleotide ribosomal RNA is filed under the name uncultured bacterium. Its description in RNAcentral is "bacterial SSU rRNA". It matches the Rfam family "Bacterial small subunit ribosomal RNA", at positions 899 to 1397 of the family's 1533-position model. The record is from RNAcentral.